UUAGUGGUAAAAGUGUGAUUCGUUCUAUUAACCCCUUAAAUAGUUAAGGGGUCCUUCGGUUUGAUUAAUAUUCCGAUCAAAAACUUUAUUUCUUAAAAGGAUUUAAUCCUUUCCCUCUCAAUGAAAGAUUCGAGGAAGAAUAGAUAUUCUCGUGAUUUGUAUCCAAAAGAGUCAAUUAGAAAUUGAAAAAAAAAACAAAAUUGGAUUAUUAAAUUACGAAACAUAAUUUGUUUUUGAAUUGGAUCAAUACUUCCAAUUGAAUGAGUAUGAGUAAAGGAUCCAUGGAUAAAGAGAGAAGGGCGUCUUUCUAAUCGUAACUAAAUCUUCAAUUUUUUAUUUGUAUAAAAGAGAUUGAGGCAAAAUAGCUAUGAAACGAUGUCUUUGGUUUACUAGAGACAUCGACAUAUUAUAUUGUUUUAGCUCGGUGGAAACAAAAUGCUUUUCCUAAGGAUUCUUUCAAAUAGAAAUAGAGAACGAAGCAACCAGAAAGAUCGUUAGAAUUAUAAUCCCACUCUUCUAUAGGGAUCAUCUAUAAAGCGGGUUGUUUUGAAUGCAUUCAAACAGAAAAGCUGACAUAGAUGUUAUGGGCCGAAAUUUUUUUGAUUUUGUAAUUUAGUUCCCAUCUGAGAUAUGUGAAAUUUGUCCAUCUUGCAUAAAGGAGCCGAAUGAAACCAAAGUUUCACGUUCGGUUUUGAAUUAGAGACGUUAAAAAUGAUAAAUCAAUCAAGAACAAGCGGAUAUAGUUGAAUGGUAAAAUUUCUCUUUGCCAAGGAGAAGAUGCGGGUUCAAUUCCCG
Molecule: transfer RNA, 795 nt
Filed under: Fagus sylvatica (European beech)
Lineage: Eukaryota; Viridiplantae; Streptophyta; Magnoliopsida; Fagales; Fagaceae
Source: RNAcentral